UGGAGAGUUUGAUCCUGGCUCAGGACGAACGCUGGCGGCGUGCUUAACACAUGCAAGUCGAGCGGUAAGGCCCUUCGGGGUACACGAGCGGCGAACGGGUGAGUAACACGUGGGUGAUCUGCCUCGCACUUCGGGAUAAGCCUGGGAAACUGGGUCUAAUACCGGAUAUGACCUUUCAGUGCAUGCUGUUUGGUGGAAAGAUUUAUCGGUGCGAGAUGGGCCCGCGGCCUAUCAGCUUGUUGGCGGGGUAACGGCCCACCAAGGCGACGACGGGUAGCCGACCUGAGAGGGUGACCGGCCACACUGGGACUGAGACACGGCCCAGACUCCUACGGGAGGCAGCAGUGGGGAAUAUUGCACAAUGGGCGAAAGCCUGAUGCAGCGACGCCGCGUGAGGGAUGACGGCCUUCGGGUUGUAACCUCUUUCGACAGGGACGAAGCGAGAGUGACGUACCUGUAGAAGAAGCACCGGCCAACUACGUGCCAGCAGCCGCGGUA
Molecule: ribosomal RNA, 498 nt
Filed under: Nocardia brasiliensis
Lineage: Bacteria; Bacillati; Actinomycetota; Actinomycetes; Mycobacteriales; Nocardiaceae
Description: bacterial SSU rRNA
Rfam family: Bacterial small subunit ribosomal RNA
Source: RNAcentral